CUCGAUGAGUAGGGCGGGACACGUGGUAUCCUGUCUGAAUAUGGGGGGACCAUCCUCCAAGGCUAAAUACUCCUGACUGACCGAUAGUGAACCAGUACCGUGAGGGAAAGGCGAAAAGAACCCCGGCGAGGGGAGUGAAAAAGAACCUGAAACCGUGUACGUACAAGCAGUGGGAGCACGCUUAGGCGUGUGACUGCGUACCUUUUGUAUAAUGGGUCAGCGACUUAUAUUCUGUAGCAAGGUUAACCGAAUAGGGGAGCCGAAGGGAAACCGAGUCUUAACUGGGCGUUAAGUUGCAGGGUAUAGACCCGAAACCCGGUGAUCUAGCCAUGGGCAGGUUGAAGGUUGGGUAACACUAACUGGAGGACCGAACCGACUAAUGUUGAAAAAUUAGCGGAUGACUUGUGGCUGGGGGUGAAAGGCCAAUCAAACCGGGAGAUAGCUGGUUCUCCCCGAAAGCUAUUUAGGUAGCGCCUCGUGAAUUCAUCUCCGGGGGUAGAGCACUGUUUCGGCAAGGGGGUCAUCCCGACUUACCAACCCGAUGCAAACUGCGAAUACCGGAGAAUGUUAUCACGGGAGACACACGGCGGGUGCUAACGUCCGUCGUGAAGAGGGAAACAACCCAGACCGCCAGCUAAGGUCCCAAAGUCAUGGUUAAGUGGGAAACGAUGUGGGAAGGCCCAGACAGCCAGGAUGUUGGCUUAGAAGCAGCCAUCAUUUAAAGAAAGCGUAAUAGCUCACUGGUCGAGUCGGCCUGCGCGGAAGAUGUAACGGGGCUAAACCAUGCACCGAAGCUGCGGCAGCGACGCUGAUGCGUUGUUGGGUAGGGGAGCGUUCUGUAAGCCUGCGAAGGUGUGCUGUGAGGCAUGCUGGAGGUAUCAGAAGUGCGAAUGCUGACAUAAGUAACGAUAAAGCGGGUGAAAAGCCCGCUCGCCGGAAGACCAAGGGUUCCUGUCCAACGUUAAUCGGGGCAGGGUGAGUCGACCCCUAAGGCGAGGCCGAAAGGCGUAGUCGAUGGGAAACAGGUUAAUAUUCCUGUACUUGGUGUUACUGCGAAGGGGGGACGGAGAAGGCUAUGUUGGCCGGGCGACGGUUGUCCCGGUUUAAGCGUGUAGGCUGGU
Molecule: ribosomal RNA, 1121 nt
Filed under: Escherichia coli
Lineage: Bacteria; Pseudomonadati; Pseudomonadota; Gammaproteobacteria; Enterobacterales; Enterobacteriaceae
Description: partial 23S ribosomal RNA
Rfam family: Bacterial large subunit ribosomal RNA
Source: RNAcentral